This 619-nucleotide ribosomal RNA is filed under the name Streptomyces sp. Ri3Pt_4418. RNAcentral's name for it is "bacterial SSU rRNA". It matches the Rfam family "Bacterial small subunit ribosomal RNA", at positions 395 to 1021 of the family's 1533-position model. The record is from RNAcentral. Lineage: Bacteria; Bacillati; Actinomycetota; Actinomycetes; Kitasatosporales; Streptomycetaceae.
CGCCGCGUGAGGGUUGACGGCCUAUCGGGUUGUAAACCUCUUUCAGCAGGGAAGAAGCGAAAGUGACGGUACCUGCAGAAGAAGCGCCGGCUAAACUACGUGCCAGCAGCCGCGGUAAUACGUAGGGCGCAAGCGUUGUCCGGAAUUAUUGGGCGUAAAGAGCUCGUAGGCGGCUUGUCACGUCGGAUGUGAAAGCCCGGGGCUUAACCCCGGGUCUGCAUUCGAUACGGGCAGGCUAGAGUUCGGUAGGGGAGAUCGGAAUUCCUGGUGUAGCGGUGAAAUGCGCAGAUAUCAGGAGGAACACCGGUGGCGAAGGCGGAUCUCUGGGCCGAUACUGACGCUGAGGAGCGAAAGCGUGGGGAGCGAACAGGAUUAGAUACCCUGGUAGUCCACGCCGUAAACGUUGGGAACUAGGUGUGGGCGACAUUCCACGUCGUCCGUGCCGCAGCUAACGCAUUAAGUUCCCCGCCUGGGGAGUACGGCCGCAAGGCUAAAACUCAAAGGAAUUGACGGGGGCCCGCACAAGCAGCGGAGCAUGUGGCUUAAUUCGACGCAACGCGAAGAACCUUACCAAGGCUUGACAUACACCGGAAAACCCUGGAGACAGGGUCCCCCUUGU